This 311-nucleotide small nuclear RNA is filed under the name Erinaceus europaeus (western European hedgehog). RNAcentral describes it as "7SK RNA". It matches the Rfam family "7SK RNA". From Rfam's summary of the family: 7SK was discovered as an abundant small nuclear RNA in the mid-70s but a possible function has only recently been suggested. Two independent studies have found that 7SK RNA binds the CDK9/cyclin T complex (known as elongation factor P-TEFb). P-TEFb activates transcription by phosphorylating the C-terminal domain of RNA polymerase II. Lineage: Eukaryota; Metazoa; Chordata; Mammalia; Eulipotyphla; Erinaceidae. The record is from Rfam by way of RNAcentral.
GGAUGUGAAGGCGAUCUGGCUGCGAUAUCUGUCACCCCAUUGAUCGCCAGGGUUGAUUCAGCUGGUCUGGCUGGCUAGGUGGGUGUCCCCUUCCUCCCUCACAGCUCCAUGUGCGUCCCUCCCAAAGCUACAUGCUCUGUUGAAGAGGACUGCCUUCCCAGAAUAGAGACAGACCAGGCAUAGGUCGAGGGUAUAGGAGUAGCUGCGCUCCCAUGCUAGAACCUCCAAACAAGCUCUCAAGAAUAUUAUGUUCUGGUGGGAGGAUAUGGAGAACUAAAUAGUUUAAUAAGCAGAUCCAUUAUACAAAUAAU